Molecule: regulatory RNA element, 67 nt
Organism: Dinoroseobacter shibae
Lineage: Bacteria; Pseudomonadati; Pseudomonadota; Alphaproteobacteria; Rhodobacterales; Roseobacteraceae
Rfam family: terC RNA
Source: Rfam
UGUGCGAGCCGGGCCCCUCUGACGGAUGAUGUAUCAGAUACAUCUGCCGUGAUGUCGGAUCGCUCCC